This 492-nucleotide ribosomal RNA is filed under the name uncultured bacterium. Its description in RNAcentral is "partial 16S ribosomal RNA". It matches the Rfam family "Bacterial small subunit ribosomal RNA", at positions 29 to 507 of the family's 1533-position model. The record is from RNAcentral.
AGUGAACGCUGGCGGUAGGCCUAACACAUGCAAGUCGAACGGCAGCACAGUAAGAGCUUGCUCUUACGGGUGGCGAGUGGCGGACGGGUGAGGAAUACAUCGGAAUCUACUUUUUCGUGGGGGAUAACGUAGGGAAACUUACGCUAAUACCGCAUACGACCUACGGGUGAAAGCAGUGGAUCUUCGGACCUUGCGCGAUUGAAUGAGCCGAUGUCGGAUUAGCUAGUUGGCGGGGUAAAGGCCCACCAAGGCGACGAUCCGUAGCUGGUCUGAGAGGAUGAUCAGCGACACUGGAACUGAGACACGGUCCAGACUCCUACGGGAGGCAGCAGUGGGGAAUAUUGGACAAUGGGCGCAAGCCUGAUCCAGCCAUACCGCGUGGGUGAAGAAGGCCUUCGGGUUGUAAAGCCCUUUUGUUGGGAAAGAAAAGCAGCAGGUUAAUACCCCGCUGUUCUGACGGUACCCAAAGAAUAAGCACCGGCUAACUUCGUG